UUAUCGUUUGGAUUCAUUUUCUCCAAUACCCGUUGGCAGCAAUGAAAGGGGAAUUAGUGUUUGCAUUUUUUCUUCUAAGUACCUGGAUACCAGGGACAUAUGGUCUUACAGGACAUGUUUGUACCGUCAUCCAAUACUACCAGUACUGGACAACUACAAGAACAGGUCUAUGGGGAUGGAGUAGAAGGUCGGUAACCAGGCUGGGAAGCACUUAUGUGCAGGUCUGCUGUUUUGGAUGGCAGGAUAAUGGACGUGGAGAAUGUGUCAUACCAAAAUGCCGCACGCCUUGCUAUAAUGGCGGCACGUGCAUAGCUCCGGACACGUGCAAGUGUCCGCCGUCACACGAUGGGACCAAUUGUGCAACAUUGCUGUGUUCACACAAGAAGCCAUGUUUUCCUGGUGUCUGUGGUUACCCUGAAAACAACUGUCAGUGUUAUAAAGGCUGGGAAGGACCGACGUGUCUUACAUUUUCCACCGGUCAGAAUUUGCCAACAAUGCUGUCCUGCGGUGUUACACUGGCUAACAUACGGCGUACAGACCUGAAAGAACUGUUCUAUUUUAGUAUACCAUGUUCAAAUGAGACCGCAAGUGACAUCGUAUGGUGCAACCAGCAGAAUUUCAACUUCGCACGAUUUUCCAUCGAUUCAUUGUACAUUCCUCUACAUGCAUAUUUCCCGUCAGAAAAAUAUAUCCACUCCAGUAAUUUCGGGAUAGUCCACAGCGAAGCACACGUUCUACACACUAAGGUCAACAAAAACGGUGGACCGAACCGUAUUGUUGCACUUGAUAACAAAUAUAACUGCACCGAAAUAUCUGAAAGAAGACCGUCAAACAACGCCAACUGUGUGAUGACAGAAAAUGACUACAUAUACAGUUUGGAGCAUGGCGAUGAAUUUACAGUAAGAUUUAGUACAAGAAGCGGCGGCUACAGACAGCUCUAUGACAUAGACUACAACAGAAUUUCUUCGUUGGAAACCUAUAACGGUCAUGUUGACGCAAAGUCAGUAGAGUUCAAAUUUGACUUCAUAGCUCCAUUACACUGCUCGGAACAAGAGUCGCAUAUAAGAAUGCCUGAUCUUGAGCAAGUAAUGGCGAUGAAGGAAGGAGAUGGUGGUAUCUACGUAACAAGCGCUAUCAAGGAGACAGGCUAUAUGUGGCAGACCUCACAAAAUGACACCAAAACUAACCUUGUAUUUAAGUGGGCCUCCCACUUUGUCAACAAAGUUCACGCAGAUGGAAAACUAUUAAAUUCAAUUUUACCAUAUCCGACUCAGUUCAAAGCGCUUGAAGACGACGGAAUUCUCCGUAGCAAAAAAUACGUCUCCAUUGACGAUAAUCAUGGACUGCGGACUCUAGCGGCGAUUCCGAACAAGAACGGCAUUAUCAAGUUCGACGUUAAGCGCGUAUAUACAGAUGAUAAAAGGGAACCGACAUCGGGUUGGACAGAAAUACCGUUGACAGAAAAUUAUAACUUUUCCGAAAUCAUUGCUGAUGGAAGCCACGUAAGACUUUGGGUUCGAGCCACGGAUAUCAUGAAUAACACUUUAGCCGAUUAUACCGAGGUGCACAUUGACAACUCGCCUCCUAGGGUAUCAAAUAGCGAGAUACAACAUAAUGCACUCAAUGGAUCAUUUCCUUAUACCACUAGGUUGACAUUUGACGCAUCAGAUGACGGUAGCGGUGUCCACAAAAUUGCAGUCGACUUGUUUGUUGCAGAUUACCCGAACUUUAAACGGACGGAAAUUUUCCAGGCAAAUCGGAAAAAUGAAUCUGGCGCAUGCGCAAGUGACCCUGAAUGCCGAUGCAUCUUGGAUACAUGUUUUCGACUGAAACAGUCAGUCGAUAUAGAUAACUGCUGGUAUUUAGUGCCAAAAGAAUAUCUUAAUAGUACAGGAGGAAUACAGGUCACUGUAUACAACCAAGCUCUUCUUACACAGGCAUUUAAUUUUUCGAUAAAAAGAUUGAGUAUCUUGCAAGGAUUAGAAGAAUAUUCUGGGCCAACCAACAUCAGAGUCGAAGAAAAUCUCGCUAGCGGAGUAAGACUUGUGUGGGAUCUCCCGGACAAACCGUCUUGCUAUGGACGUGUUGACAUUGUACUGGUCAUAAACAUUGGCAAUGGACAAAUCAGAAAAAUUCUGGUCAACAGUGAGGAAAACUCGGUGGAUGUUCUUGGUCUUGACCCGGAUAAGGAAUACAGCGUUUCGUUGAACCUUGGAUUUCAUGGAACUGAACUUGCAGAGCUCCCGUAUUCAUUUAGAACAGCUGCUCAAGAGAAUCAUCUUGACGGUGGAAUAAUCGCAGGCGUUGUUAUCGCUGUAUUGGUUCUUAUUGGAGCCAUGUUAGCUGUGUUUGUGUUGUUACUCCGGAGAGGUUAUAUGCAACCGGUCAGAAGACGAUUGGACGCUAUGACAGUUCGAUACAGGAAGUCUCGGUUUACUAGACCUCGAUCGCAUGCGAACCUUAAGGAACGGUCAUAUAGCAACUCCAUGUACAUAUACGGAGAUAUGGACUUCAAAGACGUUGAUUCUUGGCAACUCAGCAGGAAUGAUGUUGUACUUGAGAGCCUAUUAGCAUCCGGAUCUUUCGCUGAUAUAUACCUGGCCAGCGUUCAGAACCGAAGAAACCAAAUGAUCGCAAAAACGCUUAAACAGGGUUACACAAGCCAAGAUGCGUUCUUAAUGAAAGCUAAAAUCAACUUCUACUCCAUGGAAGUUGGCGAGCACGAGAAUGUCAUCUCCUUUGUUGGCGCUGUGACUGAAAAUACUGACAUGGGUCCAUUCAUCCUGUUCGAGUAUUGCAGCAAGGGUCAGUUGAAUGAUCACUUGUCUACCCUGCGUAGCAACGUGACUGUACAAGUUCACGAACAGUUGCUACAUUUUUGUUUGCAAGUGGCUCGUGGAAUGGAUUUUCUAGCUGCAAAAAAGAUUGUCCACCGGCGUCUAGCAGCUCGUAACGUUCUUCUGGACUCGAACAUUACGGCCAAGAUUUCUGGCUUUGGACCGAUUGCUGGAGAUGGGGUAGAGGACGGCAUUGAUAGGAGACGUGAGAGAAUUCCAAUCAAGUGGAUGGCACCGGAAUGUUUGAAAUCAACAAAAGAUGCAACAGAUGAAAAGCGAUAUCUGGUCGUAUGGCGUGGUCCUCUGAGAGAUAUUUUCACUGGACUGGCGAUCUCUUUGUCGUCGUUCCUCGAUUCUCCCGUACGGCUAGACCGGUCUAGUGACAUAUGACGAUGAAGUUAAAGAUCCUCUCAAAAAUACGCGCAGCACCAUUCGAAGACAUUCGAGGGAAGGAGAUACCUGGUCGAUUAAAGAGCGGUUACCGUCUGCAAAAGCCAGAGCAGUGUGAUGAAAAAUGGUAUGGUAUGAUGACUCGCUGCUGGAAGGUGAAAUCCGAAGACCGACCCACGUUCAAGGACAUACUGGCGGAGCUCGACGAGGUCUUUGUGGCGGCACCGGUCGAUGACUACUAUUAUUACAAACGAUAGACACGACUAUUUCUAAAGUUCGUAAGAUAAAAAGAAUUGAUUUUGGAUGGUAGAAUUAAGUUGUUAAAUUAUUUGCCAAAUACAAUAAUAAAAUUCACGCCUUUUUAUAUGAAACGAUUUGUGACAAUUGACGAAGAAACUUUGAUUGUGUCUCAGAUUAUUACAUUGUUUUAUUUUCUUUCUUUAAUCUAUGUCUUUUUAUUUAGCAUUGUGUCAAAAUGCGAUUUAGUCCUUUUGAUACGCCACAUGUGUCAUUAAUACACGUUAUAACUAAAAAAUAAAAAAAGUUUCAUAAUUGAUAUAUUUUAGGCAUUGUUCUCCUUAAUAUUUUUCUUAUAAGAAUAAACGAUGUCUAAUUUUCUUUCGAGUGUACGAACAAGAUUUUUUAAAAUGAAAUUGAAGUUUAAUUAAUGUUAUAUGGCGUUUUAAGUCUGCUCGAUUAAAUUGUUCAGGUUUGGCGGUAAUCAGUCAUUGAAAUAUCAGUCGCACUAAAAAUACGAAUAUUUUAUUAUGAACAUAUACACUAUCAAGCUUCUUGCAUAAGCAAAUAAGAAUUUAAGACCUAAUUAGUAAUUUUUUUUGAUUAAAUUAAACAUUUAUUUGUGAGUACCAUAUAUUUUGAUAUAAAGGAUUUGCUUGAUUGUUAUUCACAAGUGACAUGUACAUUACAUGCACAUUAAAAAGUUUGAUUUACA
Molecule: RNA transcript, 4179 nt
Organism: Dreissena polymorpha
Lineage: Eukaryota; Metazoa; Mollusca; Bivalvia; Myida; Dreissenidae
Exons: 26
Source: RefSeq, a predicted model, not a curated record